GUUCAAACACCCGUUCCCGUACAAUCACCAAAGUUAAGAAACGUCGAGCCUGAUCAGUGACCUGAUGGGUGACCUCUUGGGAAUACCAGGUACUGUAAG
Molecule: non-coding RNA, 99 nt
Organism: Acanthosepion pharaonis
Lineage: Eukaryota; Metazoa; Mollusca; Cephalopoda; Sepiida; Sepiidae
Source: the annotation of a GenBank genome assembly